Molecule: long non-coding RNA, 1192 nt
Organism: Bombus terrestris (buff-tailed bumblebee)
Lineage: Eukaryota; Metazoa; Arthropoda; Insecta; Hymenoptera; Apidae
Exons: 4
Source: RefSeq, a predicted model, not a curated record
ACAUUUCUUGCGCUUUCACAAAUGGAAUUGUGCACAACUCCCAACCGUAAGAUAACUAACCGGCGACCAGUAACGAAUACAGACGCAGUCGCUGCCACAGCGUACAUCUAUAGGCAGAGAUACACUGUGUUGGGCCAACAGUUUUUCAUGAAUAUCUUCAACUUAGCGAGUUCAUUCCUUAUAUAUAUAUAUAGGAAAACAUUGUUCGUCUUGACCGCUACACAAUUUGGAAUUGGAAUCCAUUUGGAAUGGACUAAAAAGUGGAUAUUCGUGGCCGAAAUCAAAAUUCACAACUUCAAUAUAAAAAUAUUUUUUGAGAUGUGAAAUUUUAAGUAAAAUUGAACAGGGUUGGUGAAAGGUUUGAGGAUUACCAGACGACAUAUGGCUAUUGAAAGUGAAAAGAUUUUUCUAUAUUACUGAGGGAAAAAUUCCGAACCAGUUAGUACAUGAUUGGUGUGAAGAAUGAGUGUGAACUCUUAUGCAGACGAGUGCGCGAGUGUGAGAUACGACACAGAACGGUGUGUAAUCCAUAAACGGUGUGCAUUCCGUUUCUAGUCGUUAUGGCCAAAACAUGGAGCAUAGAGGACAUAAGAGUUACUGAUGGAAAAGUCUCGUUAAAGUGGAUCCCGAAACAUUCGGCAAAUCCUCGAGCCACCAGUCGAGCUCCAUCCGGAUUGAACAUAUUUUGCACGACCUAAUUCCCCUGCAAUAGCCUACUUAAUAGGGCAUAAUCUUUAAAAGUUUCUAAAAACGAGACGUCUCUUGGCGCUAUUAUCUUUCUCUCUUCCUGGUUCCAGACCCUGUAUCCCACGGACAUGAAUAGCACGAAAGUAUUCCUUGUUUGAUACAGCAAUCUUACACAGCUCCGACCACGUAAAACUCGCAACUAUGGAACAUGUACUCGUCAGAUGGCCGAGUCAACACGGACAAGAUAUCGGUCAUGAACUACGUAGCGUUCAGUUCGACGAUUCCGUCCAAUAAACUAUUCUAUUCCUAUUUUCGAAUAAAUUUAACCCAUAUAAAAGAUUCAAUGUAUUUCCCUUCUUAAGCUAUCGUGUCGAAAUAGUCUUAUUUCCCUAUCUUCCAUAUAGUUUUAGUAUCGUCUUACUUAAUCUAGCUCCUGUCAUCUUCUAUUUUUUUCUUUCUAUCUAUAUCUUGUUUCUUCAUUUUUCGUUUCCUUUGGUACAAAGCA